UAAGCAGAUAGUGAAAGCGUGCGGCUCAACCGCAUAUACAUUAUUUGAACUGCUAAGCUAGAGUGUGAGAGAGGUAGCUGGAAUUCCUUGUGUAGGAGUGAAAUCCGUAGAUAUAAGGAGGAACACCGAUGGCGUAGGCAGGCUACUGGCUCAUUACUGACACUAAGGCACGAAAGCGUGGGAGCGACCGGGAUUAGAUACCCCGUUAGUCCACGCCGUAAACGAUGGAUGCUA
This 234-nucleotide ribosomal RNA is filed under the name uncultured Candidatus Saccharibacteria bacterium. RNAcentral's name for it is "partial 16S ribosomal RNA". It matches the Rfam family "Bacterial small subunit ribosomal RNA", at positions 584 to 818 of the family's 1533-position model. Lineage: Bacteria; Candidatus Saccharimonadota. The record is from RNAcentral.